RNAcentral lists this long non-coding RNA (176 nucleotides) under Cercocebus atys (sooty mangabey). RNAcentral's name for it is "lncRNA (ENSCATG00000045428.1)". Lineage: Eukaryota; Metazoa; Chordata; Mammalia; Primates; Cercopithecidae. The record is from RNAcentral.
UGAAUUGACAUCAGAAAUCUGUGCUGGAGUCAACAAUGAAAGUCCACCCACAAAUGAAUUAUCAGGCACGAACCCGGAGGCACGUAUCCAUGAAAGGUGAGUUAUGCAUACGUGUGUCUUUAUUUAUGUAAUUAUAAGUGAGCAUAGAAGUUUUCACACACACAGGCACAUAAACA